AACACUUAUGUGUAUUUUUUGAACUUGUGGAUAAAGUCAUAAAAGACAGGUGCAAAAUCAAGUCUUUUGCAACCCAGAACUCGUUGUUCAGUUUGAAUGUUGAUACACAUAAGAAUGAAUGCA
This is a small nucleolar RNA of Nannospalax galili (Upper Galilee mountains blind mole rat), 123 nucleotides long. NCBI's taxonomy places the organism in Eukaryota, Metazoa, Chordata, Mammalia, Rodentia, Spalacidae. The record is from Ensembl.